RNAcentral lists this microRNA precursor (65 nucleotides) under Xenopus laevis (African clawed frog). RNAcentral's name for it is "Xla-Mir-34-P3a1_pre stem-loop". The record is from RNAcentral. Lineage: Eukaryota; Metazoa; Chordata; Amphibia; Anura; Pipidae.
AGGCAGUGCACUUGCUAGCUGGCUGUUGUGUUCUGGAAACUUACAGUUGUUAGCUGCACUCCACA